UAGGGAAUCUUCCGCAAUGGACGCAAGUCUGACGGAGCAACGCCGCGUGAGUGAAGAAGGAUUUCGGUUCGUAAAACUCUGUUGUUAGAGAAGAACAGCGCAUAGAGUAACUGUUAUGCGUGUGACGGUAUCUAACCAGAAAGCCACGGCUAACUACGUGCCAGCAGCCGCGGUAAUACGUAGGUGGCAAGCGUUGUCCGGAUUUAUUGGGCGUAAAGCGAGCGCAGGCGGUCAAUUAAUUCUGAUGUGAAAGCCCCCGGCUCAACCGGGGAGGGUCAUUAGAAACUGGUUGAAUGGAGUGCAGAAGAGGAGAGUGGAAUUCCAUGUGUAGCGGUGAAAAGCGUAGAUAUAUGUAGGAACACCAGUGGCGAAGGCGAAUCUCUGGUCUGUAAAUGACGCUGAGGCUCGAAAGCGUGGGUAGCAAACAGG
This 429-nucleotide ribosomal RNA is filed under the name Bacteroidota bacterium. RNAcentral's name for it is "Bacteroidetes bacterium partial 16S ribosomal RNA". It matches the Rfam family "Bacterial small subunit ribosomal RNA", at positions 355 to 776 of the family's 1533-position model. The record is from RNAcentral. Lineage: Bacteria; Pseudomonadati; Bacteroidota.